This 1009-nucleotide long non-coding RNA is filed under the name Rhinopithecus bieti (black snub-nosed monkey). Its description in RNAcentral is "lncRNA (ENSRBIG00000045062.1)". The record is from RNAcentral. Lineage: Eukaryota; Metazoa; Chordata; Mammalia; Primates; Cercopithecidae.
CCAUGCAACUCCCGCCCCCGCUCCGUAAUUGGUGAGGGUAAUUGCCGCUCCCAGUACGGCGGAGCUGGGCUCUCUCUCGGUCCACCGGCACCACCUGUUGCCCUUAAGUUAGAAAAGGCGGCGUUCUCGGAGGGAGCCAAGCAGCCGCUGCAGGUGAAGGGGAGCCUCGGGCGGUCAGGUCGCCGCCAGGCUGCCGGCUCCGUUAGGCCCGGCGCACCUGCAGCGCAGCCAGGGCGCCAAGCUGAGGCUCUCACAUCCGGGGCCCGCAGUCACCGCCAACGCGUUAACCCUUUGUCCGCAGGCCCACGGGUGCCGGCUGUGACCGCGCGGGCCCCUGAGGUGCUAGAGAUUAGACCUGGCGCGCCCGCUAGGAAUACUUGUUUUAACAACACACUGUGAAAAGUAGAAGUUUCUGAAGGCUACAACUCUUAUGUGAUGGUCAAAAGAUUUUACAAUUUUCCUACUCAGAUCUACUUAAUCAGAUUAUCUCAAGGUAAGGUCUUUAGAAACUAAUAGAACAAGAAGUAUCUGGAAAUCACUGAAUGAAGCUGUCAGAAGUCGGUGCAGGAUAAAUUUCAAGUCACUGAUAAGAUGGAAGGUAGGUGAUAAUACUAAAGAAGACAGAAAACAAAAACUUGGAGAAAAGCCUAUAUUUUCAGGUUCAUAGAAUUUUUAAAAACCAGAUUGCUGUGUACAAUUCUUUAAUUGUUGGGAGGGAGUCAGAAGAGAUGGUGCCAGGUACAGGUGUGUUUACUCUGGCAGGGGAGACUGCUUCCCUACUAUGCUUACAAUCCAGGCCAGUGUGAAUUCAUAUUGUGAUCUUUGUCUACAGAACUAAAAGAGGGCUUGGACAGAGGUGGAGGAAGAAGGAGUUGCAACUGCUCAGCUGUAUUGACAGCAGGACUGUAUGUAGGUCUUACUUUCACUGGUAGUGAAUGUAGGUCAUCCCUGGCACAGAAGGUUGUGUUGCGAAAAGCAAAACAAGCUGUCAGGGAAGAUUCAAGAUAGG